RNAcentral lists this ribosomal RNA (254 nucleotides) under uncultured bacterium. RNAcentral's name for it is "partial 16S ribosomal RNA". It matches the Rfam family "Bacterial small subunit ribosomal RNA", at positions 524 to 776 of the family's 1533-position model. The record is from RNAcentral.
UACAGAGGUCCCGAGCGUUGUUCGGAUUCAUUGGGCGUAAAGGGUGCGUAGGCGGCGGGGCAAGUCUGAUGUGAAAUCCCGGGGCUCAACCCCCGGAACUGCAUUGGAUACUGCCUUGCUCGAGUACUGGAGAGGGAACUGGAAUUUACGGUGUAGCAGUGAAAUGCGUAGAGAUCGUAAGGAAGGCCAGUGGCGAAGGCGAGUUCCUGGACAGUUACUGACGCUGAGGCACGAAGGCCAGGGGAGCAAACGGG